This 434-nucleotide ribosomal RNA is filed under the name Sahacanthella saoriae. Its description in RNAcentral is "partial 16S ribosomal RNA". The stretch from base 283 to 434 matches the Rfam family "Bacterial large subunit ribosomal RNA", at positions 2473 to 2624 of the family's 2925-position model. Lineage: Eukaryota; Metazoa; Arthropoda; Collembola; Entomobryomorpha; Isotomidae. The record is from RNAcentral.
AUAAUCAUUAGUCUUUUAAUUAAGGAAUAGAAUGAAUGGUUAAACGUAGCUUUAUUUUAUUAUUUUUAAUAUUUGAAUUUAAAUUUUUAGUGAAAAUGCUAAAUUUUCUUUUUAGACGAUAAGACCCUUUAGAGUUUUAUUUAAAAUAAAUUAAAUAGAAAUUUAAUAACUAAAUUAAAUUUUAUUGGGGCAAUAAAAGAAUAAAAUAAACUUCUUUUAAUUUAUUAAAAAUUAAUUAAAUUUAUUAACUUAAUUUAUAAUUUUAUAAAAAAUUACCUAAGGGAUAACAGCGUAAUUAAAAUUGAGAGUUCUUAUCGACAUUUUAGUUUGCGACCUCGAUGUUGAAUUAAAAAUUUCUAGGAGGGGUAGAAUUUUCUUAAGAUAGUCUGUUCGACUAUUAAAUUUUUACAUGAUUUGAGUUCAAAUCGGCGUAA